RNAcentral lists this ribosomal RNA (285 nucleotides) under Climacostomum virens. Its description in RNAcentral is "partial Bacterial large subunit ribosomal RNA". It matches the Rfam family "Bacterial large subunit ribosomal RNA", at positions 1773 to 2104 of the family's 2925-position model. Lineage: Eukaryota; Ciliophora; Heterotrichea; Heterotrichida; Climacostomidae. The record is from RNAcentral.
GAGGUUAAUAAUAAACUGCUGACAACGACUGUUUAACAAAAACACAAGACACUGAUAACCUUAUUAGGGCUUUAUAGUGUCUGAUACCUGCCCAAAGGCGAAAGCAAACGGCGGCCGUAACUCUAACGGUCCUAAGGUAGCGUAGUUCCUUGGCAUUUAAUUGGUGCCGUGCAUGAAUGGUGUAACGACUGUCAGGCUGUCUCAAGUAUAGAUUUUGUGAAAUUGAAUUGUUUGUGCAGAUGCGAACAAUAGUUUGUGGGACGAUAAGACCCCAUGCACCUUUAC